UAUCGUGUAAAUUAUCAACAUAAUUUGUGUUUUGAUGAAAAGAGUAAGUAAGAAUAUAAAUAACCCUCACUCGAAAAUUUCUUCAUAAAGUUUGAAGAAAUGGCGUCUUGGCAAUAAUGUAGUAGCUCUUAUGCUGGUUAUAACAACCACAGUAUUUGCAUUGGACUGUGAGUUUGAAGGUUCAACCUACGAAAAUGGCACAUCAACUAUUCUAGAUGCCUAUCCAUGCGUAACAUAUUCCUGUAAAGAUGGCAAUUUCGCAUCCAGUAAAAUUCAAUGCGCAGAUAAAGAUGGAAACUGCAAUGAUCCUGGCGACAUCUUUUCACUGGUGAUAAAGGGUAUAACCUGGGAUACAUGUAAUUGCACAGUAACAGCUGAUGAUAAAGUCAACUAUUAUUGUUCCUAAAUAAAGUAAUAAAAAAUAAUUCACCAAAACAA
This is a long non-coding RNA of Patella vulgata (common limpet), 438 nucleotides long. RefSeq lists it as uncharacterized. Lineage: Eukaryota; Metazoa; Mollusca; Gastropoda; Patellidae. The transcript has 3 exons. The record is from RefSeq and is a predicted model, not a curated record.